AAAAACUCCAUCUGUUCCCAUCUCUUCUGCCUCCGUCUCAAUCUCGACCGGUCACCCCAUCUCCACCGCCACAUCCGUCGUCUUCCGCCGCCGCCGAUGGCCCGCCUCCUCACGCAAACCCUCACCCUAGCCCGCCCCGCCUCCUCCCCCUCCACUACCGCCGCAUCCGCUUCCCUCCGUGGCCUCGCCACCAAGGUCGAGAUCAUCGAGAUCGAUCUCGCCGAGGAAGACGCUGGCUCCUCGUCCCACGGCUCCCCCUCCUCGUCCCCGUCGGUCGAGGCGGUCGGGAUCCGGCGCCUGGAGGAGGCCAUCCACGGCGUCAUGGUGCGCCGCGCCGCGCCCGACUGGCUCCCCUUCGUGCCGGGAGGGUCCUUCUGGGUGCCCCCGCUGCGCCGCCCGCACGGGGUCGCCGAGCUUGUUGGCCGGAUCGCGGCUGCUGGGGGCACCGAAGGGGGCGCCGGGGCCGUUGGUGGCGCGGUCGAAGUCUUGGAGCUCGACGCGCCCAUGACGGAGGAGCAGGCGUUUUGUUUCUCCACCACGCGCGGCUGGCCCUCGGCCUCUUUCUUCGUCGAAGGGAAAUCUACACAUUUGAGGAAAUCGAGGAAAGGUGCAACUCAAACUGAUGAUGAAGAAAGCUGAUUCGUUUGUGCUAUGUUGCAAGGGGUAAGGUGAUUUUUACUUCUAUUAGGAACUUGAUAACCAACAUGCUGUCUUAAUGCAUUAAGUACCUGUACUGAAAUUUCUUCAUGUUUGUUUUUUGCUGCUUGCUUUAAGUAACACUUUUUUUAGUGGCGAGUUUUAUAGGUGAUUCUGUUACAAUCUGCACCUGAUUACUCCCAUUUGCAGCUGUCGCCUGUGGUUGUGCUGCCAUUAAAUGCUUGUAAGGAAAAAUGACCUAUUUGAGGUUUCCAUGUAUUUAGCUAAUGCAGUUAAGAGAAGGUGCAAUCUUAAUCCAAAGUUCACAACUGAUUAACCUCUUCAUGUUUUAAAUAUUAAACCGAUUAGUACACAAGAAAAUUGUAAUAAUCAAAUCAGAAUCAUAUAUGGAAGGGAAGUUGUUAUUUCAUUGGCUGAAAUAAUUGUUUUUGACUAAUAGAUUGAUUCUUUUUGAACUAAUAAUGGUGUUUGUUUAAACUAAUAAUGAUGUUUGUGCCUCUGCAAACUGCCCACCAGAACAAAAAUGAGCUGGAGGCCCACCAAAUUUUGUAGCACUGUCCCUCCAUGCCACAGCCUUACUGAUCAUACCUGCAAUGCAUUAACUGCUGACAUGUAUGGCGGUUAUUGCUGCCUGCACCACAGGUUCCUGUGACUAUUUUUGACCUGAUAAUUUAACUAUUUGACCAUUUGGCCUACAGGAAUAGGCCCCACAUGUAGAACCAUAGUUUGUCUUGCAGGAUAAAAUCCAAAUAAAUGAAAUUUACAGGUUAGAUAUGGAAAUGUUCCCCUUUUUAUGUAUGAUUCUGCCACAUCUCAUCAUUCAACAUGGCUGGAGCAAGAAUGGCUGCUCCUACAUGCUUGGAUAUAUAGGGACAAACAUCUUGUCACACUAGGAAAAUCAAAACUAUGCAAACAGUGAUAUUCUGUUGGACAAGGCCAUGGAUUGCAAAGGUGUAGUUAUACUUGCUGGUGAGGUUGAGGUCUAGCACUAGCACUAACAGAAUCUUGUUAUUAUUGACGCCUGAGAUGGAUUUUGUAAAAUUCUCUUACAGUUCUUUCGCUGGAUUCCUCUAGCUUUGAAGGCACAAUUAUUCCUUAUAAAAUGUCAUGAAAAUUAACUGGGCAGGGCUGGUGCCAAGGGACUUGCUGCCAUCUGGCUGGGUUAGCGUGGGGUGGCAGGGUCCCUUUCCCUUUUUCUUUCUGUAAUGGGUGUUUUGCUAGUGUGUGUGUUUUCGCCCUCCUGGGCUUGUACUUUGGUCCAUUUUGGUUCCUCUCUCCAUAAUAUAAUGAUGCUCAGCUGUCCUGCCUGUUCGAGAGAGAAAAAAAACAGAAAAUUAACUGGGCAGAAGAUAAAGAAACUUUAUAUCGACCAGAUGCUGACUGUUUACGUAGUUAUUACGUAUGCGUAGUUAAGAUUUUCUGCACAAGAAGAAUCGUAUUUGAUAUCGUGAUGCCCUGUUGGUCAGGCUCCUACAAGAAAACACAGUGCAGAGUUGGAUGACUGCCAAGAUCAAUGUAGAUAUGGAUGCAAGGAGCCUAUUGCUGGUAAACCAUGGCACCUGCUACGGUUGAUGCUGCCUCAUCCGUCUUGGAAGAUAAAUCUGUAAAUUCGGUCUGAAUCUCAGGCGGUUGUUGUAUCAACAAGUCCUGGCACAAAGCCUUCGUUGUAAUAAUAUAAGCAUUGCAUGGAGCUGUGUGCUGAAUGUGUGCUACGGUACUUUCAAUACUGGGCUCAGCAUCAAUCCAGAAGAUGUACUCUAAACAAAGAUUCUGGAUGGCUUCUUGUGCCAACUAGGAACAAUGUAAAAUUUAUGCAAGCAUUUCUGCUCACUCCUGAUCUAUGUAAUACUAAGCUAAAAGCUUAAAGGGCUUAAGGGCUUGUUCGUUUUAACGUUAAUCCACGUGUAUUGCGUGGUAUUGAGGCCUUGUUCGGUUAUUGA
Molecule: RNA transcript, 2597 nt
Organism: Zea mays
Lineage: Eukaryota; Viridiplantae; Streptophyta; Magnoliopsida; Poales; Poaceae
Exons: 3
Source: RefSeq, marked predicted